Molecule: non-coding RNA, 54 nt
Organism: Salmo salar (Atlantic salmon)
Lineage: Eukaryota; Metazoa; Chordata; Actinopteri; Salmoniformes; Salmonidae
Source: Rfam
GGUGCACCACUUUGUAAGUCGCUCUGGAUAAGAGCGUCUGCUAAAUGACGUAAA